RNAcentral lists this ribosomal RNA (628 nucleotides) under Galbibacter orientalis DSM 19592. RNAcentral describes it as "bacterial SSU rRNA". It matches the Rfam family "Bacterial small subunit ribosomal RNA", at positions 78 to 704 of the family's 1533-position model. Lineage: Bacteria; Pseudomonadati; Bacteroidota; Flavobacteriia; Flavobacteriales; Flavobacteriaceae. The record is from RNAcentral.
GCUUGCUAAUCUUGAGACCGGCGCACGGGUGCGUAACGCGUAUGCAACCUACCUUUUACAAAGGGAUAGCCCGGAGAAAUUCGGAUUAAUACCUUAUAGUAUUGUUGAUAAUCAUUUAUUAACAAUUAAAGUUUCGGCGGUAAAAGAUGGGCAUGCGUCCUAUUAGCUAGAUGGAGUGGUAACGGCACCCCAUGGCAACGAUAGGUAGGGGUCCUGAGAGGGAGAUCCCCCACACUGGUACUGAGACACGGACCAGACUCCUACGGGAGGCAGCAGUGAGGAAUAUUGGACAAUGGACGCAAGUCUGAUCCAGCCAUGCCGCGUGCAGGAAGACGGCCCUAUGGGUUGUAAACUGCUUUUAUACAAGAAGAAUAAGACUUACGUGUAAGUUGAUGACGGUAUUGUAUGAAUAAGCACCGGCUAACUCCGUGCCAGCAGCCGCGGUAAUACGGAGGGUGCAAGCGUUAUCCGGAAUCAUUGGGUUUAAAGGGUCCGUAGGCGGGCUAAUAAGUCAGGGGUGAAAGUUUGCAGCUCAACUGUAAAAUUGCCUUUGAUACUGUUAGUCUUGAAUUAGUAGGAAGUGGUUAGAAUAAGUAGUGUAGCGGUGAAAUGCAUAGAUAUUACUUAG